UACGUAGGUGGCAAGCGUUGUCCGGAUUUACUGGGCGUAAAGGGCGUGCAGGCGGUUUGUUAAGUGCAGGGUGAAAGCUCCCGGCUCAACUGGGAGAGGUCCUUGCAUACUGGCAAACUCGAGGGAGGCAGAGGAAAGUGGAAUUCCCGGUGUAGUGGUGAAAUGCGUAGAUAUCGGAAGGAACACCAGUGGCGAAGGCGGCUUCCUGGACUAAUACUGACGCUGAGGUGCGAAAGCGUGGGGAGCAAACAGG
RNAcentral lists this ribosomal RNA (253 nucleotides) under uncultured bacterium. RNAcentral describes it as "partial 16S ribosomal RNA". It matches the Rfam family "Bacterial small subunit ribosomal RNA", at positions 524 to 776 of the family's 1533-position model. The record is from RNAcentral.